RNAcentral lists this ribosomal RNA (1511 nucleotides) under metagenome. RNAcentral describes it as "bacterial SSU rRNA". It matches the Rfam family "Bacterial small subunit ribosomal RNA". The record is from RNAcentral.
AGAGUUUGAUCCUGGCUCAGAAUGAACGCUGGCGGCAUGGCUAAGACAUGCAAGUCGAACGGACAUAUUGAUUGGGUAACCGAGAUAUAUGUUAGUGGCGAAAGGGUGAGGAAUAAAUAGGUAACGUAUCUUUGGCUUCAGAAUAGCGUCUAUCCCGACUUGUCGGGGUUUCCGAAAGGGGCAUUAAUACUGAAUAAUAUCACUUCCUUAACUGGUUGUGAUCAAAGAUUUAUCGGCUUUUGAGCGGCCUAUUUCCUAUCAGCUAGUUGGUGAGGUAAUGGCUCACCAAGGCGACGACGGGUAGCGGGACUGAGAGGUUGGCCCGCCACAUCGGGACUGAGACACUGCCCGGACCUCCACGGAGGGCUGCAGUAACGAAUAUUGGGCAAUGGGCGAAAGCCUGACCCAGCAAUGCCGCGUGCAGGAUGAAGCCUUUCGGGGUGUAAACUGCUUUCAGGGAUUAGAAAGCUACGGUUGAUCAAUCCCAGAAGAAGUCACGGCUAACUUCGUGCCAGCAGCCGCGGUAAUACGAAGGUGGCAAGCGUUAUUCGAAAUCACUGGGCUUAAAGGGCGCGUAGGCGGACAUGACAGUACUUUGUGAAAUCCCUCGGCUUAACCGAGGAAUUGCGAAGUAUACUACAUGUCUUGAGGCAAGUAGGGGUGUGUGGAACUCUUGGUGGAGCGGUGGAAUGCGUAGAUAUCAAGAGGAACGCCGAAGGUGAAGACAGCACACUAGGCUUGUACUGACGCUGAGGCGCGAAAGCGUGGGGAGCAAACAGGAUUAGAUACCCUGGUAGUCCACGCCGUAAACGAUGUCUACUAGGUUGCGGGGGUUCUGACACCGUCGCAGUCGUAGCAAAAGUAUUAGUAGACCGCCUGGGGAGUACGGUCGCAAGGCUAAAACUCAAAGGAAUUGACGGGGGCUCACACAAGCGGUGGAGCAUGUGGAUUAAUUCGAAUCAACGCGCAGAACCUUACCUGGGUUUGACAUGUUUGGAUGCUUGCCGGGAAACCGGUUAAGCUGCCUUAGGGUGAAACUUACACAGGUGCUGCAUGGCUGUCGUCAGCUCGUGUCGUGAGAUGUCGGGUUAAGUCCUUUAAUGAGCGAAACCCUUACCGUUAGUUGCCAGCGCGUCAUGGCGGGGACUCUAGCGGGACUGCCGGUGUCAAACCGGAGGAAGGCGGGGAUGACGUCAAGUCCUCAUGGCCUUUAUGCCCAGGGCUUCACACGUGCUACAAUGGCAGGUACAGAGCGACGCGAUACCGCGAGGUGGAGCAAAUCGCAAAAAACCUGCCCCAGUUCAGAUUGCAGGCUGUCAACUCGCCUGCAUGAAGGUGGAAUCGCUAGUAAUCGUGUAUCAGCGAUGACGCGGUGAAUGUGUUCCUGAGCCUUGUACACACCGCCCGUCAAGUGAUGGGAGUUGGGAGUACCCGAAGUCGGAUUGCUAACUUGUAAAAGAGGCGUCUGCCGACGGUAAGCUCGAUGACUGGCACUAAGUCGGAACAAGGUA